Molecule: ribosomal RNA, 253 nt
Filed under: uncultured bacterium
Lineage: Bacteria
Description: partial 16S ribosomal RNA
Rfam family: Bacterial small subunit ribosomal RNA
Source: RNAcentral
GACAGAGGGGGCAAGCGUUGCUCGGAAUUACUGGGCGUAAAGGGCGCGUAGGCGGCCGCCUAAGUCAGACGUGAAAUCCCUCGGCUCAACCGGGGAACUGCGUCUGAUACUGGGUGGCUUGAAUUCGGGAGAGGGAUGCGGAAUUCCAGGUGUAGCGGUGAAAUGCGUAGAUAUCUGGAGGAACACCGGUGGCGAAGGCGGCGUUCUGGACUGCAACUGACACUGAGGAACGAAAGCCAGGGGAGCAAACGGG